This 19-nucleotide microRNA is filed under the name Drosophila pseudoobscura pseudoobscura. RNAcentral's name for it is "mir-2569-RB". The record is from RNAcentral. Lineage: Eukaryota; Metazoa; Arthropoda; Insecta; Diptera; Drosophilidae.
CAACGAACCGAGGAAUUUU